This 472-nucleotide ribosomal RNA is filed under the name uncultured bacterium. RNAcentral's name for it is "bacterial SSU rRNA". It matches the Rfam family "Bacterial small subunit ribosomal RNA", at positions 355 to 825 of the family's 1533-position model. The record is from RNAcentral.
UGGGGAAUAUUGGACAAUGGGCGCAAGCCUGAUCCAGCGACGCCGCGUGUGUGAAGAAGGCCUGCGGGUUGUAAAGCACUUUCGAUGGGAACGAAAUGUGCCGGGUUAAUACCCCGGUAAGCUGACGUUACUCAAUGAAGAAGCACCGGCUAACUCUGUGCCAGCAGCCGCGGUAAUACAGAGGGUGCGAGCGUUAAUCGGAAUUACUGGGCGUAAAGCGCACGUAGGUGGCGACGUAAGUCGGGUGUGAAAGCCCCGGGCUCAACCUGGGAAUUGCAUUCGAGACUGCAUUGCUGGAGUACGGAAGAGGAGGGCGGAAUUCCCGGUGUAGCGGUGAAAUGCGUAGAUAUCGGGAGGAACAUCAGUGGCGAAGGCGGCCCUCUGGUCCAGUACUGACGCUCAUGCACGAAAGCGUGGGGAGCAAACAGGAUUAGAUACCCUCGUAGUCCCUGAGCGGGCUGGCAAGGCGCAU